GACGUAGGGGGCCAGCGUUGUUCGGAAUUACUGGGUGUAAAGGGUUCGUAGGCGGUGCGGCAAGUUGGGAGUGAAAUCUCUGGGCUUAACCCAGAGGCUGCUUCCAAAACUGCUGUGCUUGAGUGUGGGAGAGGCGCGUGGAAUUGCAGGUGUAGCGGUGAAAUGCGCAGAUAUCAGGAGGAACACCGGUGGCGAAGGCGGGUCUCUGGGCCGAUACUGACGCUGAGGAGCGAAAGCGUGGGGAGCGAACAGG
Molecule: ribosomal RNA, 253 nt
Filed under: uncultured bacterium
Lineage: Bacteria
Description: partial 16S ribosomal RNA
Rfam family: Bacterial small subunit ribosomal RNA
Source: RNAcentral